Molecule: long non-coding RNA, 608 nt
Organism: Brassica napus (rape)
Lineage: Eukaryota; Viridiplantae; Streptophyta; Magnoliopsida; Brassicales; Brassicaceae
Exons: 4
Source: RefSeq, a predicted model, not a curated record
CAAAUCAAAAACAAUCACUAACCAAGCUACAAUUACGACCACAAAAUCCACCGGUAAGUCUCCUGCCUCCGAAGUUUCGCUCGGACCAAAAUCCAUUUCUGGGAGGCCAAAAACAUUGCAAAAGGUGGGACCUUUAUUGGCUUAGAGCUGCUACGAUCAAGGUGGAGGUCGCUUCAUAGGGUACCAGCCUAAUCAGCACGUAGUACCUUUGUUAGUUUAGAAUCUCAAAACACUAUAUUGGUUUGUGGGUUUCAGAAAAACUGAGAACUGUUCUUUAUAUUUGUAUGCAGGAGAUCGAUUUUGAGUUUGAGACUGAAUAAAAGAAAUAUCUUACCAGACAAGGAAAUAAUUAAGAGUCAUUGAAAGAUGAAACUAAAAGACUUAGCUUUCUUCAAGAAAAAAAAAAUGUAUAUGGCAAAUCUUCAAAAGCUCCUGCUAAAAACGAAAAGAGAGACAAUGUCAGGAACCAAAGGGAGCAUCUGGUUUGUUUACUUGCUGAUAAUCAUAUAAGGUUGACUCCCAGGCCAGAGUUUCUGAAUAAGCUCGACGAUAGAGCCGUUGAUGCCGUCAAGACAAAGUUCUUUAAGAACUACAAGAACUGGUGCAAA